Molecule: ribosomal RNA, 119 nt
Filed under: Ricinus communis (castor bean)
Lineage: Eukaryota; Viridiplantae; Streptophyta; Magnoliopsida; Malpighiales; Euphorbiaceae
Source: RNAcentral
GGGUGCGAUCAUACCAGCACUAAUGCACCGGAUCCCAUCAGAACUCCGAAGUUAAACGUGCUUGGGCGAGAGUAGUACUAAGAUGGGUGACCUCUUGGGAAUUCCUCGUGUUGCAACCC